RNAcentral lists this long non-coding RNA (7365 nucleotides) under Vigna radiata. RNAcentral describes it as "long non-coding RNA (VRAD_LNC007187)". The record is from RNAcentral. Lineage: Eukaryota; Viridiplantae; Streptophyta; Magnoliopsida; Fabales; Fabaceae.
UUCGGAGUAAAUUUUGGGACCGAGACACUGACCUGAAUUUUGUUACUUUCUAGCACUGGAUCGUUCUCUGUAUUCCACCGUACGUUCCUCAAACUGUCUGUUACACUCCAAACUUUGACCGAGAGGAGGGGGUACCUGCAAAGGCACUCCGACGCUCAAGUUAGGCGUCUGUAGUAUGAUGUUCUCGUAUCUCAGCAAGGCAAUGCUCAGAGUGAGAAAAAUUUGGUAGAGGAAUUACUGGUGAUCAAAGAGGAGAAUGUGAUGAAUGUAAGCCUACCUUGUUUGAAGUCCUUGGUUCUCUAUUUAUAGGCCUUGAGUUGAUAUAAGAUUAACAGGAAUAUAAACACAAUAAAAUAUUAACAAACUUACUUUAUUUCCUCUAAACAGCUUCCUUUAUAUCUCUAAUUAGAUAUUAUUUGAUUCCCCAUAUCACAUUAUCUGAUUUCUGGUAUUUUUAGUGAAAGACCUUUUAAUUUGUAGAUGGGUUAUCAGCCCAUUAAUAAGUCGCCCAAUUAUGGCCCAGCAUGAUGACUGACUUAUUAUCUUGUUGACCGGUCGUUUAGAAAUCGACUGUUGGAGGUAUCCUACUGUACAUCAUUUCUCCCAAGUCCGAGUUAAGCGCACGAUUUGUUGGGUGGCUUAACUGUAGGACUUUUAAAGUGUGAUUUGAAGGAGGACGAGCGCUGGUUGGUUAUUAGGUGUGACCACGUGUGUCUUUGGAACGACAUAACUAUGUUGUCGUUUUAACAUGAUUAGCAUUUUCCCGCUUUUGAGGUAGUGGCAGAGUUGUCAAAAAAGAACCGUUGGAUCAUCUUUAUCCAACAGUGCGUAUUGAAUGGCGGUUUCGUCAGUUUUCACGCAUUAAUGAAAUAGGUUUUCCUAGGCGAACUCAACUGUCAUUUCAGUGUUUGCAUCUCCUUUCGAGUUUCUGAAGUUCCUCUUGAAGCUUCUUCAAUCUGCAUUUGCCUUUAGGUCUUCCUCUCUAUCUCAGGUAACAAUGGCUUCUUUUUCUGUCGUUUAUUCUCUAUCUAAAAGUGAGGAAAGUGGGCGUGAUAACUGGCCUGAUGCUCAGGUGGAAGUUGUUGAUUCCAUUUCUUCUCUUCUUAGUGGGGAUAGAGUAUUCGUGAGUGGGGGAGUUGUCGUUGACGGCCCAGAAGAGGGUUGUUCGACUUCACCUUCCGACUAUGAGUGGGCUUCUCACGAAGUCGGCGAACAUAGCACCUUUUUUUGUGAACAAAACUAUAUUAUUAGAAUGGGUGAAUAACAACUGCGUUCUUAGAACUUUAGGUUAUAAUGUUGCCCUUAGACUCAUAGCUUGUAGGAGAGACGAAAGGGUUUUCCACGGGGAAGGUAUAGUCGGAGGGCACUGUUUUUAUUUUUAUCUGUGCUUGUUGUAUGACAUGUAUGUUAGGUUGUCUUUCAUUAGAUUUCAAAUGGAUGUGUUACGAACCUUGAAUGUAGCCCCUUCGCAGUUACAUCCGAAUAGUUGGGGCUACAUUCAAGCAUUUGGUGUGUUAUGUCAGACCUUAGACAUUCAUCCCACAGCUAAAUUAUUUAUGUACUUUUUCAAAACACGUCCAAAUGCCAAAAAGGGUUGGGCGUCCCUAAGUUCGGUUGCCAAAAAUGCCAUCUUUCAAUUGUUUGUUGAGUCGUAUAAAGACUUCAAAGACCACUUUUUUAAAAUUUCUAUUACCAACUUGGGUCAUUCGUUUUUCCUGUGUGAGGAUGGUAGUCCCAAAUUUCCAUUAUAUUGGACCAAAAAUCCCCAAACGAUAACUUCCUGGUCUUUAGAGGAUAUGACCGACACUGAAUGGAAGGAUCUAGACGUAUUAGUCAAGUUGCCUCGUCCGUUUUCCUCACGGAAGAUAGUCAACUGCCUUAAAUACAAUGACUUCAAAUCGAGGGUGUUUGGUAUGUUCUUUGGCUGAAUGUUUUGAUAAUUUGUUUAAUGAAUCCUCAUUCGUGUUUAUUGGUACCUUUUUUACAAAAGUCAUGGGGAAAAAGGGUGGUCGCGAUUGGUUCAAGCUCUCCCAAGCAGGCAGUACCUCCGGCGUUCCGAGAGUCGUUGUUCGUCCGGUGGCUGCCGCUACCAGUAUAGUAUACUGGUGGUAUGCGUAGAGGAUCCUCCUCCUUCCCCUGAACAGAUAUUGACACGGAAGAGAAAGGCCAGUCGGGCAGAGGGGAUGCAAGCGCAUCCCACAAAGGAAAGAAAGUUGCUACAGAGUCGGUGGAUGUGGUCGCGGAACGUUCCCUUCCACUAGGCAUGUGGGAUCCUAGUUUCGAUCUUCGUCACAAGAUCGAAUUUAAUUUUGAUGCCGCAGAAGAGAAAGUGAUGUGUGAGAUGUCCGAACAACAAAUGACGGAAUUUUUGCUUGAUAAUGCGCUUCGUGGUGAGGCCGGGGCUUUCAAGAUGGUCUAUGCCUCCAACAGAGGAAACCUGCAUUCAGAAGUCAAACGCUUGAAAAAAAAGUUGGAGGAAGCUAAGGAAAACCUUAAGAAGGCUAACACUGCACAUGCUGAUUGUGCUAAAAAUGCCACAGAAACUACUAAGAUGAUAACGAACACAAAAGCAUGAGGUGUCGUGCUGCGAGUGCUCCCUCCAUGAUGAGGGAGAAAGAAACAGCAAUCACAAAAGCCAAAAUCAUCAAUUUCUUAUACUCACUCUCCAUAUCUAUCUUUUCUUCAAUCUCUGCACAUUCCACACACUUUCACCUUCCCUUUUAUACACAUCAAAUUAUCAAAUCAACUUCCUUAACAUUGUACAUGUUUAGUAUUUUUAUUACUUAUUAAUAUGGUUUCUUACGUGUUUGGCAAUCCAACAUUAAUAGGGUUAAAAUAUAUUAUAAUAAAAUUAAAAUUUUAAUAAUGAUAUAAAAAAAAAUUAUAAGAAUAUUUUAUUAAUAUAAGUCAAAUCAUUUUAAUAUUCCAAAUUAAUAUAAAAGAUAAAAAAGAAAAUCACGCAAUCAUUAAUUCUGAUAAUAAAUAAUAUGUACUAAUACUGCAAUUAAAAAAAAGUUAUAUAUUAUUAGUGUGGUGACUUCCCGGAUACCACGGCGAGUUGCAUUGCCAUACAAAUUACUGAGUUGCAUGAUUGAGUGAGAAGGAUUUUUGUUUUUGAAACAAAAAAGUAUCUUACUUUUUGAAUUAACUUAGAAGUCAAAUUUAUAUAUAUAUAUAUAUAUAUAUAUAUAUAUAUAUAUAUAUAUAUAUAUAUAUCAAAUGUAUGUGAUAUAAUAUUAAUGAUAUAUCUUCUUCUGACGUUAUCGAACUAUGAACAAUAGUAUUUUACCGAGCGGUUGUAGAGAACUGAAGAUUAACGAGUAGUUACAGUAUACUAGAGACUAUUGAACAGUUUGAGGGUAUUGAAGACUACUAAACAGUUACAGGUAGUGAACAGCUGCAAGGCUAUCGAGCAACUAUAUACUAUCAAACAGUAGAUACUCAGAGUUGCAGUGUCAUAAAAUUAUUUUGUUAAUUCUGUUUUCUUUUUCCUCUUCCUCUUUUGUAUAUAUUAUUUGCCUCCGCUAUAUCCAAAACACUUUUUCAAUAAUAUUCAUUCACAGUUAUGUUUUUCUCUAGAGUUCUUGUUUCUUUUUCUCAAACACUUACAUGGUAUCAGAGCUUAAUGUUUUUCUCUUUCUCAAACACUUACAUGAUAAUUCAUUCUGCAUUCAUGCAUACUCUGAUUCUGAUUAGGCUACUUGUGCUACCACUAAAAGAUCCAUCUAUGGUUUUUAUGUUUUUAUUGGAACUACUCUUAUCUUUUGGAAGUCAAAGAAACAAACCAUCGUUUCUAAAUUUUCUUAUGAAGCCGAGUACAGGUCCUUAGCUUCUCUAACUUGUGAGCUGCAAUGACUGCAAUAUCUUUUAAAAGAUCUGCACAUACCGUGCCCAACUCCUUACUCAGUCUAUUGUGAAAACAAUUAUGCCAUCCACAUUGCCAAGAAUCCUACUUUUCAUGAAAGAACCAAACAUAUAGAUAUAGAGUGCCACAUUACUAGACAAAAGCUUCAAGACGGUCUUAUCAAGCUUUUUCAUGUAUCUUCUACUAAUCAACUUGCAGAUGUUUUCACCAAGUCUUUUUAUCCUUCUCCCUUUAAUAUUAUUACUUCCAAGCUAAACAUGCAUAAUAUCCAUAUUCAUCUUGAGGGAGGGUGAUAGAGAUCUUCACAGAUAUUUUCUUCUAUUGUUACCGAACGGUGAACAAUAGUAUCUUACCGAACGGCUGCAAAGAGCUGAAGACUACUAAGCGGCUGUAGUAUACUACAGACUACCGAACGGUUUCAAAGUACUGAAGACUACCAAAGGGCUACAAGCAAUGAGGCUACCUAUAUAUUACCGAAUGUCGCAACCGAAAUUGCGACGGGACAACAAUCCAAAAAAGAACGAUUUUGAAAAAGAGUUUUAAGUCGCCACUAUAGUUUAUUUUGGAAAACUAUAGGAAAAACCGUAAAAAGAUAAGACAAGGUCUAUGAAAAACAAAUUUCAGGUUUAGGAGUCAAUUACGUGUAGGAAAGGUAUUAGCACCAUACAAUACCUGCCCGAAGACCGUACAUUCAAUUAAAAACGUGAUUUGAAAUGUUUAAUUAUCCCUAAAAAUAAAACUCUAAGGAAACAAAAUAUAUUUUUUUUGUUUUGAAUAUUUAUAAUAAAAAGAGAAAAUAAAAAUAAAAAUAAAAUAUGAUAAAAAGAGAAAAUAAAAUAAAAUAAAAAAGGAGUGCAAAGGUGCUUAAAUAAGAAAAGGGGUGUUCAAACCAACUUUAGUUCUGGGUUAAAGCCCAAGUGAAAAGAGGGUGAGAAUGAAAAACAGGGGUGUGCAAACCAAUUUUAGUUCUAAUGACAGACUAGGCCUAAGCCCAAGUCCAAAUGGGGUGUGAAGAUGAGAAUAUGGGGUGCGGAUGAGAAUAGGGGCUCGAGGCCCAGUAGAAAAAGGAAUGGGGGUUCCUAAAUGAGAAACGGUGGGUGCAAAGGGGAAAAGGUUUUUAUAUUUUUAUUAUUGCUUUUUCUUAGAAAAAAAAGAAAAAAGAAAAAAAGAAACGAACUGGAUCUGGCCCAAAGGUUCCCAGUUGAAACUUUAGGGGUCUGCUCAAUCCUUCCUCAUUCUUCAAUUCAGUUGCCAUGAGCGAGACCCCAGGGUCUCCUUUUCCAAGCUAACCCCAAGGGCACUCAUUCCCGCCGCCGGUGCCUCUUCCAAAACGGCCACCGCAAGGAGGCCCUCCGCUGGUCCAUGACGUCGCCGGCGACCCCAAGUGCAACCACAGUCGCCGCUGGCCGCAGCGCCACAUCUUCUUCUCUGCCCUUUUUGGCGUGCGAGAGGUGAACUCGCCUUCCACUCGCGCCGCACCCCAGUCGCCGCUUCUCGGACCACAAACCAGGGUCGCGCCGGCGAUGUGACUCGCCGCCGGAGCUGUCACCACUCGACCCAAGGCAUCGCCGACUACACCCAUCGUCAACGGGAACCGUCCCCGCGCGAGAGAAAGGCCGUGGCUCGAACUGCGACGAGUUUCCACCACCACGAACGAAACCACCGUCGACGAAGAUGUCCGUCGCCGCCAUCGCCGGAGUUCGCUUCCUCACCGGCGCCAUCGGCACCACUCUCCCUCCUCCCCGUUCAAGGGUUUUCUUUUCAAAUGCUAAACGUCCCCAGCAGCACCAUCGCCGGUGCCGAGGACGAAAACGCUUUUCCCUCCCGUUUUUCAUUCCAUUUUUUUUUAUGUCAUUUUUUGAUUAGUUUGGUAUUGAUUGAUUCUUCCUCUCUAUGAAUGUAUGUUGUAUGCAUAUGAGUGUGAGUGUGGGUAGGAAAGUGAUGGUUGGCGACCAUUUUGAAUUAAUCAGAUGAAAGGUGCAGCACAACAGUGUUGAGAGAGGGGCCGAUCGGAUAACUGUUUUAUGCUUCAGGCCGAAGAUAACAUAAAUUUGGGACUGGGUAUUGAAGUCAUGGAAGAUGAUGAACUGAUGAUACAGUCCGCAACGUCAAUCUGCCAUCCUUGUUUGAAGGCGCUGGACAUAGUAGAGGAUAAAAUGGCUUGUUCUAAAGAACAAGCUCUGAGCAUAUUGAUGCAGGUGAAAGAUAAUCUUGAGAUAGAAGGCAGCUGCGACAGAUAUUGUUUCCCUAGAUUGAGGGGAACCUAUGGUUUGCUGGAGGAAAAAAACAGCGUCUGUUUUUCUAUUGUUUUCUAUUCUGGAAAUGUCUGCCUCUGUUUCCUUCUUAGUACAUGUUUUCUGGGGUGAAUAAAAGGUAUUGAAAUCUUGACGUUGGGGAACAUAUACUAUUUUCUAUUGUGCUGAAUAAUCUUGCAGAAACUUCAUUUUGGGUGUAGUUUUGAUUAACAGAGGAUGACACCAAAAAAAAACACAACUAUAUACAUUGAUCCAACAUCACUCAUUCAUCUCUUGGUACAGGAAGACUUACCUUCCAAGGUUCUUGUCCUCUUUGUUCUCUUGGAUUGAACUUCUUUUGGCUUCCAAUGGUCUUGCAGGCGUAAGAAGGUUGAAUGGGAGGUUCAAGGAUGGCAACCAAAGUGAAGGCAAACGAUUCCCUCUUCCUCUCCGUGAGGUCUUCUACUCUGUUUUGAUAUUGUGUGUUUUUUACUGAAGCUCACAGGAAGCCCUCCCAGGCAGUGGUUGUGAUCUGAUUCCCUCACUGUUCCCCCGCUGUAUCUUUUUUAGAAAACCAAUUUUCAAGAAGGCUCCCUUCUCUGCUGUGGAAUUUCAUGCUUGUCUUUUUCCUUUUCUCGUGUAUUCAUUGUAUCAGUUGACAAAAGCUCUUCAAAAAAUCUUUCUCCUUUGAUGAAUCUUUGCAGUCUUACUUAAAAGGAAUUUCAGCAAGAAGACCAAGAUCUUUUUUCACUGCCAUCAUGGUUAUCAAACUUACGACUUUGCGUUUUUAUACAUAGUUUCCGAGUUAACAAACUCACUUUUGGUAUAAACUCGGUGGAAUCGGAAGCAAAUUCGGCCAAACUCGAGAGUUUGCAAUCGAAUUUGUGAGUUCAGAUGAGAAAAAUUUUAAACCCAAAGGAAAACUUGCCGAGAAUAGAUUGGCUUCUCGCUGCAUGAUUGAAUGUCUCCUCAGUGCGUCGCUCAUUACUCGUGGUGCCACUGCUUGCGCACCGCCCGUGGUGCCACCAUAGUCGUUCACUUGUAGUUUGUAUCUCUCUUCUCCAUCGCUGGUUUUUUUUCUAGAAAAGGUGAGCUUUUUCUGUUGUCCCCUAGCCAUGUACCGCAUGUCUUCUUUAUUCUAGAAAAGGUGAGUUUGUUCUGUUGUCCCCUGCACAUCAUUUCUUGGAAGAAGUGAAGUAAUUUAGGGGAUUUGAGUUUUUUUUUGGGUCCGCCAGAGGAAUGGAUUUAGGGUAGCUUUUAGGAAAG